Molecule: ribosomal RNA, 460 nt
Filed under: uncultured bacterium
Lineage: Bacteria
Description: partial 16S ribosomal RNA
Rfam family: Bacterial small subunit ribosomal RNA
Source: RNAcentral
CCUACGGGUGGCAGCAGUGAGGAAUAUUGGUCAAUGGACGAGAGUCUGAACCAGCCAAGUAGCGUGAAGGAUGAAUGCCCUAUGGGUUGUAAACUUCUUUUAUAUGGGAAUAAAACGUUCCACGUGUGGGAUUUUGUAUGUACCAUAUGAAUAAGGAUAGGCUAACUCCGUGCCAGCAGCCGCGGUAAUACGGAGGAUCCGAGCGUUAUCCGGUGUUAUUGGGUUUAAAGGGAGCGUAGGUGGAUUGUUAAGUCAGUUGUGAAAGUUUGCGGCUCAACCGUAAAAUUGCAGUUGAAACUGGCGUUCUUGAGUACAGUAGAGGUGAGCGGAAUUCGUGGUGUAGCGGUGAAAUGCUUAGAUAUCACGAAGAACUCCGAUUGCGAAGGCAGUUCACUGGACUGCAACUGACACUGAGGCUCGAAAGUGUGGGUAUCAAACAGGAUUAGAUACCCUAGUAGUC